GGGAAGGGGAAGGUGCCUUUCCGCAUUUGGUGUAGUCCCGCAUUCUGCCAUAUGAUGGCGCCAGAGAACGCGCCUACCGGGAUAGGGAGGGGCAAGGAGGCGAGGAAGGAAAAAAAAGAGACAAGUGAAGAUUGACAUCCAUUAAGGCCAAUGGUAGCUCAAUCUUCUGUUCUCUGACUCCCAAGCUUCCCAUUCUCUUAGGAGGCUGCAUUUGUGGCGCUAAAAAAAGGGAUGGGCGUGGGAGAUUCCAGGACUUGUGCUCGCUGAAGAUACAACUGUUAGUCCAAGCUCCUGUAUCAGCAGUGCUUGCACCUCAUAGGUGAUGAUCAUGAGGGGGACAAGGAGCCUCUAGACUUAAGAGACAAGUUGCCAGCAUUCUCCAGAUGGAGUGUUUCCCUCCGCAGCACCCCCUGCUGGUCAGUUUGACAAGCAGGUGAACAGAAGUUCUCAAAUACACAAUAGUAGAUUCUAUCAAUCAAGUUUCAUAAAGAGUUCUGAUUCCCAGAGAUAGCAGAUUCUGUCAACCACAUUUCAUAAAGAGUUCUGAUUCUAAGAGAGCCAUACACCUGAAGGAGGGAUGGAAAGACUAGGAGAGCCUGGGAUCCUCAGAGAUGGAGAUCUGGAUGUGAAGAGAAAGAGAAAAACAAAAGUCAACAGACAGUACUGUGACCAAGUCAGUGAUGGUGAGAUCAGCAGCAUCUCUAGGACCCUUCUGAUUGACAUGAAGUCACCAUCAAGUAGGCAGAACUCACAGGACUUAUGGAGCAAGGAUGACUGACACAAACACAAAAAUCAUUCUGCCUGUUGAAUGAAUCAUAAAAUACUGUCUUUGAUCCAGGAGGCUUGUGUCAUCUGCCAGCAUUUAUGAAACUGUGCUCCAAGUAGGCUCCUGUAUCAGCAGUGCUUGCCCCUGAUAGAUGAUGAUCAUGGGGGGACCAGGAGCCUCUAGACUUAGAGAACUUUCCCCACCCUCCCUGUGGAGUGUUUCCCUCCCCAGCACCCCCUGCUGGUCAGUUUGACAAACAGAUGAACAGAAGUUCUCAAAUACACAGUAAGCAGAUAACCCCAACAUCACCAGAAAUAUCAACUUGUGAUGGCAUUUUGUCAAGUUGUCUUUGUUAUCGGCAUCAUCUGUUGCUUUCUGAGGGAAGUAUUUUGAGUUCUCCUACUGAGACUGUGGAUUUGCCUAUUUCUUUUUGUAUGUCAGCUUUUGCCAUAUGUAUUUUGUAGUUGUGUUGUGAGGAAGAUUCAUGACUUAUCUUGUGGGAGAAUUCUGUAUUUAGCAGAUUUUCGUCUUAAGUUCUGUUUUGCUUAGUAUUGAUGUUAUUACUUUGCUUUUUCAGUUUCAAAAUCAUUUAGUAUAUCUUUUUCCUUUCUUUUAGCCUUUGUGUUUUUAUUUCAGAUGUGCUUUCUUAUGUACUGACUGUGAUCCCCAAAUUCAUAUGUUGAAGUCCCAACUCCAAAUGUAUUUGGAGGUGGGCCUUUCAGAC
Molecule: long non-coding RNA, 1490 nt
Filed under: Homo sapiens (human)
Lineage: Eukaryota; Metazoa; Chordata; Mammalia; Primates; Hominidae
Description: PREDICTED lncRNA (TCONS_00046311)
Source: RNAcentral